Molecule: ribosomal RNA, 303 nt
Filed under: uncultured bacterium
Lineage: Bacteria
Description: bacterial SSU rRNA
Rfam family: Bacterial small subunit ribosomal RNA
Source: RNAcentral
UGGGGAAUAUUGGGCAAUGGGCGCAAGCCUGACCCAGCAACGCCGCGUGAAGGAAGAAGGCCCUCGGGUUGUAAACUUCUUUUGUCAGGGACGAAGAAAGUGACGGUACCUGACGAAUAAGCCACGGCUAACUACGUGCCAGCAGCCGCGGUAAUACGUAGGUGGCAAGCGUUAUCCGGAUUUACUGGGUGUAAAGGGCGUGUAGGCGGGACUGCAAGUCAGAUGUGAAAUUCCAGGGCUCAACUCUGGAACUGCAUUUGAAACUGUAGUUCUUGAGUGAUGGAGAGGCAGGCGGAAUUCCGU